GACGAACGCUGGCGGCGUGCUUAACACAUGCAAGUCGAACGCUGAAGACCUGGCUUUUGUUGGGUUGGAUGAGUGGCGAACGGGUGAGUAACACGUGAGUAACCUGCCCUCUUCUUUGGGAUAACGCCCGGAAACGGGUGCUAAUACUGGAUAUUCACUGGCCUUCGCAUGGGGGUUGGUGGAAAGGUUUGUUCUGGUGGGGGAUGGGCUCGCGGCCUAUCAGCUUGUUGGUGGGGUGAUGGCCUACCAAGGCUUUGACGGGUAGCCGGCCUGAGAUGGUGACCGGUCACAUUGGGACUGAGAUACGGCCCAGACGCCUACGGGAGGCAGCAGUGGGGAAUAUUGCACAAUGGGCGAAAGCCUGAUGCAGCGACGCCGCGUGAGGGAUGGAGGCCUUCGGGUUGUAAACCUCUUUCGCUCAUGGUCAAGCCGCAACUGUGGGUUGUGGUGAGGGUAGUGGGUAAAGAAGCGCCGGCUAACUACGUG
This 486-nucleotide ribosomal RNA is filed under the name uncultured bacterium. Its description in RNAcentral is "partial 16S ribosomal RNA". It matches the Rfam family "Bacterial small subunit ribosomal RNA", at positions 28 to 507 of the family's 1533-position model. The record is from RNAcentral.